Molecule: ribosomal RNA, 815 nt
Filed under: uncultured bacterium
Lineage: Bacteria
Description: bacterial SSU rRNA
Rfam family: Bacterial small subunit ribosomal RNA
Source: RNAcentral
CGCUGGCGGCGGGUCUACACAUGCAAGUCGAGGGACGAACCGAGGUGCUUGCACCUUGGGGAAACCGGCGAACGGGUGAGUAACACGUGAGGAACCUGCCCUGUACACCGGGAUAACCGCGGGAAACCGUGGCUAAUACCGGAUGCUCCGCUCCGGCCGCAUGGCUGGAGUGGGAAAGCUCAGGCGGUACAGGAGGGCCUCGCGGCGUAUCAGCUUGUUGGUGAGGUAACGGCUCACCAAGGCGACGACGCGUAGCUGGAGUGAGAGCUCGAUCAGCCACACUGGGACUGAGACACGGCCCAGACUCCUACGGGAGGCAGCAGUGGAGAAUCUUGUCCAAUGGGCGAAAGCCUGAGACAGCCACGCCGCGUGCGGGACGAAGGCCUUCGGGUCGUAAACCGCUUUCAGGAGGGAAGAAGCGAAAGUGACGGUACCUCCAGAAGAAGCCCCGGCCAACUACGUGCCAGCAGCCGCGGUAAUACGUAGGGGGCGAGCGUUGUCCGGAAUCAUUGGGCGUAAAGCGCAUGUAGGCGGCCACGUAAGUCGGUUGUGAAAUCCCGAGGCUCAACCUCGGAACUGCGACCGAUACUGCAUGGCUUGAGGAAGGUAGAGGAGAGUGGAAUUCCCGGUGUAGCGGUGGAAUGCGCAGAUAUCGGGAGGAACACCAGCGGCGAANGCGGCUCUCUGGGCCUUUCCUGACGCUGAGAUGCGAAAGCGUGGGUAGCGAACAGGAUUUAGAUACCCUGGUAGUCCACGCUGUAAACGAUGGGUGCUAGGUGUGGGGGCCAGUUCACGGCCUCCGUGUCGAAGCUNAC